This 280-nucleotide ribosomal RNA is filed under the name uncultured bacterium. Its description in RNAcentral is "partial 16S ribosomal RNA". It matches the Rfam family "Bacterial small subunit ribosomal RNA", at positions 524 to 803 of the family's 1533-position model. The record is from RNAcentral.
UACGUAGGGUGCAGGCGUUAAUCGGAAUUACUGGGCGUAAAGCGUGCGCAGGCGGUUUGCUAAGACAGGUGUGAAAUCCCCGGGCUUAACCUGGGAAUUGCGCUUGUAACUGGCAAGCUAGAGUGUGGCAGAGGGGGGUGGAAUUCCACGUGUAGCAGUGAAAUGCGUAGAUAUGCGGAGGAACACCGAUGGCGAAGGCAAUCCCCUGGGCCUGUACUGACGCUCAUGCACGAAAGCGUGGGGAGCAAACAGGAUUAGAACCUACCGUAGUACCGUCCGU